GGAAGACAUCUGGUAGCUUCUGGAGCAGCUGCAGCAGCCAGGACACAUGAACUACAGUGGAGUUCAGAUCCUCAGCUGGCCUCAUCACCGACAGUCCCAUGAGGAGUGGGUGUUUGUUUCCUGCUUCACAGUUAGGGCAGGAACAAGCCCAGACGCAGUCUUGCUUUUAACUACUGGACCCAACACAAAGCCUCCCUUGCAGGCUUACCAGAGCAUGAAAACGAAAUGGCCACCUCCUGUAACAAGAAAACUUCUAGAAGAGGAAGGAGACAUCAAUACAUUCACAAAACUUUCAACUCGAAAUCUGUCUUGCCAAUAAGUGUGCAGGGAUAAAGACAGAAAAGUAGCACACCUGUCUCCAGAGGCUUCACUCAGCAGCUGAAAGCCACAGCCAAUCCUCAGAUGGAGCUCGGGAAGUCUUGUGGAAGAGUGGUGGGAGAGUGACAAGGAAACUGGUUGGGAUAAAACACUACAAGAAGUCCCCUACCGUCAGAUACCUUGGACCAUGGAGUAUGCUAGAGCCUGUGCAACCAACCCCAGAGCCAGGUUAGCUAUCUGCAGUUGGUCUCCAUGUGGGUCAUCUGACAAGUAGAUCCAGGACUGUCUCAGUCUGUGUUGCCUGCCAUUGGAUCUGUUCCCCAUACCCUGACUGCCUGAUUGUAAAUCUGUGGGGCAGAAUGUGCUCGGGCCACCUGGGACUAGAUGUCCCGGGGUGGUGUGGUACCCAGGGACUCUCCCCUUGUCCAAAGAGAA
Molecule: long non-coding RNA, 753 nt
Filed under: Rattus norvegicus (Norway rat)
Lineage: Eukaryota; Metazoa; Chordata; Mammalia; Rodentia; Muridae
Description: long non-coding RNA NONRATT002187
Source: RNAcentral